AUGGUGCGAGCAGGUGACGGUCCGCGGGAUGGUGGUGGACUAGACCGACCUCUCCUCUCCCUUUCCUUGGUUCCCACCGCCACGCCGGUGCUCAACAAGGACGACUACCUCGCCAUCUGCCUCACCGCGCUCGCCGCCACCAGCAAGGAGCAGCAGGCGGGCGCGUGGAACCCGUCCCUUACCCGGGCUUAGGAGCUGUGGUUCAGCUGCGCGGUCUGCGGGAAGGCGUAUGCGUCAUACUAGGCGAUCGGCGGGCACAAGUCCAGCCACCGCAAGCCGCCGCCCGCGUCCACGGGCGGUGGGUCGGAGGCGAGCGCGGCGGCGUCCUCGGGCGAGAGUAGCGGCGGCCCGCAUCAGUGCACCGUCUGUGACCGGGGCUUCACGACCGGGCAUGCGCUCGGAGGGCACAAGCACUGCCACUACUGGGACGGCACCUCCGUUUCCAUGUCCAUGUCCGUCUCCGUUGGCGUCCUCUGCCGUCUGAGGAACUUCGACCUGAACCUGCUGUCGAUGCCGGAGAACGCAGGGGUGAUGAGGUGGGACGAGGAGGAGGUGCAGAGCCCUCUACCCACCAAGAAGCUGAGGCUUUUGCUGUAA
Molecule: ribosomal RNA, 597 nt
Filed under: Triticum aestivum (bread wheat)
Lineage: Eukaryota; Viridiplantae; Streptophyta; Magnoliopsida; Poales; Poaceae
Description: partial small subunit ribosomal RNA
Source: RNAcentral